UCCGGCUUAUCACCUGUGUUCCCGCCAGCCGAACUGAAGGAUCCCAUCUCUGAGCCGGUCACGGGAUGUCAAGGGCUGGUAAGGUUCUGCGCGUUGCGUCGAAUUAAACCACAUGCUCCACCGCUUGUGCGGGCCCCCGUCAAUUCCUUUGAGUUUUAAUCUUGCGACCGUACUCCCCAGGCGGAGUGCUUCACGCGUUAGCUGCGGCACCGACACGCAAGCGUGCCGACGCCUAGCACUCAUCGUUUACGGCGUGGACUAC
This 262-nucleotide unclassified non-coding RNA is filed under the name uncultured Alphaproteobacteria bacterium. RNAcentral's name for it is "contains 16S-23S intergenic spacer region". Lineage: Bacteria; Pseudomonadati; Pseudomonadota; Alphaproteobacteria. The record is from RNAcentral.